RNAcentral lists this ribosomal RNA (403 nucleotides) under uncultured Methanosaeta sp. Its description in RNAcentral is "bacterial SSU rRNA". It matches the Rfam family "Archaeal small subunit ribosomal RNA", at positions 936 to 1338 of the family's 1478-position model. Lineage: Archaea; Methanobacteriati; Methanobacteriota; Methanomicrobia; Methanotrichales; Methanotrichaceae. The record is from RNAcentral.
CCGACAGCAGUAUGAAGGCCAGGCUGAAGACUUUGCCGGAUUAGCUGAGAGGUGGUGCAUGGCCGUCGUCAGUUCGUACUGUGAAGCAUCCUGUUAAGUCAGGCAACGAGCGAGACCCCACGCCCACAGUUGCCAGCGUACUCUCUGGAGUGACGGGUACACUGUGGGACCGCCGCUGCUAAAGCGGAGGAAGGAAUGGGCAACGGUAGGUCAGUAUGCCCCGAAUAUCCCGGGCUACACGCGAGCUACAAUGGUUGGUACAAUGGGUAUCUACCCCGAAAGGGGACGGGAAUCUCCUAAAACCAAUCUUAGUUCGGAUUGAGGGCUGCAACUCGCCCUCAUGAAGCUGGAAUCCGUAGUAAUCGCGUUUCAACAGAACGCGGUGAAUACGUCCCUGCUCCUU